RNAcentral lists this ribosomal RNA (484 nucleotides) under uncultured bacterium. Its description in RNAcentral is "partial 16S ribosomal RNA". It matches the Rfam family "Bacterial small subunit ribosomal RNA", at positions 30 to 507 of the family's 1533-position model. The record is from RNAcentral.
AUUGAACGCUGGCGGCAGGCCUAACACAUGCAAGUCGAGCGGAUGAGUGGAGCUUGCUCCAUGAUUCAGCGGCGGACGGGUGAGUAAUGCCUAGGAAUCUGCCUGGUAGUGGGGUACAACGUUUCGAAAGGAACGCUAAUACCGCAUACGUCCUACUGGAGAAAGUGGGGGAUCUUCGGACCUCACGCUCUCAGAUGAGCCUAGGUCGGAUUAGCUAGUUGGUGAGGUAAAGGCUCACCAAGCCGACGAUCCGUAACUGGUCUGAGAGGAUGAUCAGUCACACUGGAACUGAGACACGGUCCAGGCUCCUACGGGAGGCAGCAGUGGGGAAUAUUAGACAAUGGGCGAAAGCCUGAUCCAGCCAUGCCGCGUGUGUGAAGAAGGUCUUCGGAUUGUAAAGCACUUUAAGUUGGGAGGAAGGGCAGUAAGUUAAUACCUUGCUGUUUUGACGUUACCAACAGAAUAAGCACCGGCUAACUUCGUG